UUGCUGGGGGAUUAGUGGCGAACGGGUGAGUAACACGUGAGUAACCUGCCCUUGACUCUGGGAUAAGCCUGGGAAACUGGGUCUAAUACCGGAUAUGACCAUCUGACGCAUGUCAUGGUGGUGGAAAGCUUUUGUGGUUUUGGAUGGACUCGCGGCCUAUCAGCUUGUUGGUGGGGUAAUGGCCUACCAAGGCGACGACGGGUAGCCGGCCUGAGAGGGUGACCGGCCACACUGGGACUGAGACACGGCCCAGACUCCUACGGGAGGCAGCAGUGGGGAAUAUUGCACAAUGGGCGGAAGCCUGAUGCAGCGACGCCGCGUGAGGGAUGACGGCCUUCGGGUUGUAAACCUCUUUCAGUAGGGAAGAAGCGAAAGUGACGGUACCUGCAGAAGAAGCGCCGGCUAACUACGUGCCAGCAGCCGCGGUAAUACGUAGGGCGCAAGCGUUAUCCGGAAUUAUUGGGCGUAAAGAGCUCGUAGGCGGUUUGUCGCGUCUGCUGUGAAAGACCGGGGCUCAACUCCGGUUCUGCAGUGGGUACGGGCAGACUAGAGUGCAGUAGGGGAGACUGGAAUUCCUGGUGUAGCGGUGAAAUGCGCAGAUAUCAGGAGGAACACCGAUGGCGAAGGCAGGUCUCUGGGCUGUAACUGACGCUGAGGAGCGAAAGCAUGGGGAGCGAACAGGAUUAGAUACCCGUGGUAGUCCAUGCCGUAAACGUUGGGCACUAGGUGUGGGGGACAUUCCACGUUUUCCGCGCCGUAGCUAACGCAUUAAGUGCCCCGCCUGGGGAGUACGGCCGCAAGGCUAAAACUCAAAGGAAUUGACGGGGGCCCGCACAAGCGGCGGAGCAUGCGGAUUAAUUCGAUGCAACGCGAAGAACCUUACCAAGGCUUGACAUGAACCGGAAAGACCUGGAAACAGGUGCCCCGCUUGCGGUCGGUUUACAGGUGGUGCAUGGUUGUCGUCAGCUCGUGUCGUGAGAUGUUGGGUUAAGUCCCGCAACGAGCGCAACCCUCGUUCUAUGUUGCCAGCGCGUUAUGGCGGGGACUCAUAGGAGACUGCCGGGGUCAACUCGGAGGAAGGUGGGGACGACGUCAAAUCAUCAUGCCCCUUAUGUCUUGGGCUUCACGCAUGCUACAAUGGCCGGUACAAAGGGUUGCGAUACUGUGAGGUGGAGCUAAUCCCAAAAAGCCGGUCUCAGUUCGGAUUGGGGUCUGCAACUCGACCCCAUGAAGUCGGAGUCGCUAGUAAUCGCAGAUCAGCAACGCUGCGGUGAAUACGUUCCCGGGCCUUGUACACACCGCCCGUCAAGUCACGAAAGUUGGUAACACUCCGAAG
Molecule: ribosomal RNA, 1336 nt
Filed under: Arthrobacter sp. Tibet-YD5000-4
Lineage: Bacteria; Bacillati; Actinomycetota; Actinomycetes; Micrococcales; Micrococcaceae
Description: bacterial SSU rRNA
Rfam family: Bacterial small subunit ribosomal RNA
Source: RNAcentral